RNAcentral lists this ribosomal RNA (497 nucleotides) under uncultured bacterium. RNAcentral's name for it is "partial 16S ribosomal RNA". It matches the Rfam family "Bacterial small subunit ribosomal RNA", at positions 28 to 507 of the family's 1533-position model. The record is from RNAcentral.
GACGAACGCUGGCGGCGUGCCUAAUACAUGCAAGUUGAGCGCUGAAGGUUGGUACUUGUACCAACUGGAUGAGCAGCGAACGGGUGAGUAGCGCGUGGGGAAUCUGCCUUUGAGCGGGGGACAACAUUUGGAAACGAAUGCUAAUACCGCAUAAAAACUUUAAACACAAGUUUUAAGUUUGAAAGAUGCAAUUGCAUCACUCAAAGAUGAUCCCGCGUUGUAUUAGCUAGUUGGUGAGGUAAAGGCUCACCAAGGCGAUGAUACAUAGCCGACCUGAGAGGGUGAUCGGCCACAUUGGGACUGAGACACGGCCCAAACUCCUACGGGAGGCAGCAGUAGGGAAUCUUCGGCAAUGGACGAAAGUCUGACCGAGCAACGCCGCGUGAGUGAAGAAGGGUUUCGGAUCGUAAAACUCGGUUGGUAGAGAAGAACGUUGGUGAGAGUGGAAAGCUCAUCAAGUGACGGUAACUACACAGAAAGGGACGGCUAACUACGUG